AUGGUUUUGGAGGACGAAAGCAGUGACGACCAGUCUAGCCUCCCGUACAUGCAGUCUUCCUCCUCCACCGACGGGCUCAACCAGGUCCCUUUCAGCCUUGAAGAUCCAGAUUACAAGGGGCUUGAGCUGGAUGUCAUGUCCCCAUGUGAGAAGCACGGCAUGGCAUCUGAGAGGCUUGUUGCCUUUGAAGGAACAGGCACUGGCAGGAGGUUUUUAGCAUGUGUACAACCGGAAGGUAGCAAUUGUGGCUUUGUUGAAUGGGUUGAUCACCAGUGGCCCCCAACAAUGCAGAAUGCAUUGUUGAAGCUAUGGGCAAUGGUUGAAGAUGCCAAAAGUGCUAGGGUGAAUGACAAUCUUGAAAGUUCUUUCACUAUCCACCAUCUGACAGAAAAGAAGAACAAGCUGGAGGCCAACUAUGACAAGCUAUCUGCCAUUACAUAUCAGCAGGAGGUAAGAAAAGAACUGAUUGAUGAUAUGAAGGCACAGAUGGCAACUGAGAUGGCAAAGAAAGAUGCAAAGACCCAGAAACUUACUCAGAAGUAUGAGCUGCUGGUCAACCUGACAAGAGCUCAAGCAACAGUCAUUCAGAACUUGAAGUUGAACAAAAUGAAAAAGAAGCGAGUGCUUACUGAAGCUAGGAUGAAUUUGGAGCUGAAGAAUGCAGAGCUAACAAAGUGUCAGGAUAAGCUCACCCAAGAGAAGCUAGAGUUGAAGCUUCAGGUUGCUGAUCUGCUUAAGGGAAAUGAAAAGCAUAUUCAAGAGAAGUGGCAGUUAGAGUUUCAGAAUGAAAAUUUGAAGGAGAAGUUCAGGGGGAUUUAG
This 819-nucleotide ribosomal RNA is filed under the name Triticum aestivum (bread wheat). RNAcentral describes it as "partial small subunit ribosomal RNA". Lineage: Eukaryota; Viridiplantae; Streptophyta; Magnoliopsida; Poales; Poaceae. The record is from RNAcentral.